This 156-nucleotide unclassified non-coding RNA is filed under the name uncultured Phomopsis. RNAcentral's name for it is "sequence contains ITS2". Lineage: Eukaryota; Fungi; Ascomycota; Sordariomycetes; Diaporthales; Cytosporaceae. The record is from RNAcentral.
CAACCCUCAAGCAUUGCUUGGUGUUGGGGCACUGCUUCUAACGAAGCAGGCCCUGAAAUCUAGUGGCGAGCUCGCCAGGACCCCGAGCGUAGUAGUUAAACCCUCGCUUUGGAAGGCCCGGGCGGUGCCCUGCCGUUAAACCCCCAACUUCUGAAA